Acanthopagrus latus (yellowfin seabream) is the source of this 924-nucleotide long non-coding RNA. RefSeq lists it as uncharacterized. The transcript is spliced from 3 exons. Lineage: Eukaryota; Metazoa; Chordata; Actinopteri; Spariformes; Sparidae. The record is from RefSeq and is a predicted model, not a curated record.
CCUGCUGUAGGUGGCCGAUUUCAGUGCCUUUCCCUUUAAAUGCUAAUGAGCUACAGCGUGCACCGCCCAAGGUGCCGCUCACCUCUUAGUGCUUUGCAAAGACAUGAGGACGACAUCAUGUGACCAUAGCAAUGGCUGAGUUUGUGGAAGAAAUGACUACCGGACAACAGACUGCAAUGGAACCUUACAUGUUCGAGCUGGGGUCCGACCCAGAACAACAAGAGAGGCUCCAGAAGAAAGUCAGUAGCCAAGAAGGAACAUGAAUGUUUCUCAGUGGUUAGUAGUUACGUUUGUUACCUCAACAUUACUUUUAUGUUACUGCAGACGAACAAAAGUUUUAAGGGCUUACUGGCCGUCUGCCCAUGUUGUUAAAGAUAACAACCCCCCUCUCCUGCCUCAAGUGUUUACAUCAUAAAGCUUAGCCAAACUUCGGCUGGCGUUUACUUCUGUUCAAUUGCAGUAACUCGGAUGCAAUUGCAAUUGCCAUUACAAGAGAAAAGCGUAACCUCAUACCUUUAUGUAGCCAGGUUACAUGAAGACUACAGCAGCUUCCUGAGCCACCAUCAUGCAUGGUGGACCGUCCUGGCCUGGUACCUGUCUACCUGAAUGUAUUUGCACUGCAGAAUGCACUGAACAUUUAUCGGGCGGGCUGUGGACCUGUACGUCUGAGAGGAAUAGUGCACCAAUAUAGCCUACAGAAGCUUUGUAAGCUGGUGCUGGGGCUCUCUGGGGCGGAGAGUGAGAGUUGUGCUGCCUGUCUGCGUGGUCCAAGAGGUCUUCAGGGAUUAUGAGUUUCAGCACCUCAUUCACAUAUUGGGGCAGGGUCCUGGAAAACCGUCUUGAAGAUCAGGUCCAACAGUGCAUCACUGCAGUCAGCAUUGCAAUAAACAAAAAUUAAUGUUUACAGGAAGACUGCAGUAGAAC